GGAUCCCAUCACAACUCCGCAAUUAAGCGUGCUUGGGCGAGAGUAUUACUAGGAUGGGUGACCUCCUGGGAAGUCCUCGUGUUGCACCC
Molecule: ribosomal RNA, 89 nt
Filed under: Beta vulgaris subsp. maritima
Lineage: Eukaryota; Viridiplantae; Streptophyta; Magnoliopsida; Caryophyllales; Amaranthaceae
Source: RNAcentral